CUCUGUCUCUCUCCCGCCUUCGCUCCCAAUCCACCGCACUCUCCGGCGCGCCGCCGCUGCCCCCGCCUCCGCCGCCGCCACCGCCGACUCUCGGAGCACCGCCGGCGGCCGGAUAAUGGCAACACCGGGUUUCGCACCAGAACUUGCACUGGCGAUUCUAAACUUCACGCCAAAUCUUUGGGCAAUUACCUCCUUUGCCGUUCAGAUCUGGAUAUGGAGUUUUGUUAUAGGGAGUUGGUGGGUGAAGUUUUUGGUGCUUAGCUAAUUCGGCAAGGCUGUGCGAAUGCCUUGCCGACCGGUGGUAAAAACCCCACAUUUCAAGAGAAGUUUAUGCUCACGCUCGUGAAGGGCUCGGAGAGUUCAAUCUUGCGGAAUGUGGAGCAGCAAUGUCCUCACUUCAUCGGCAGUGGAAAGUAGUUACUUCCUACCUUAUAUCCAUUUGGCUAACAACACUGUUUUUGAUGAGUUGUUUUGGACUUUGGUCCUUUGACUGGCUAGUGUUUUUAUCUUAGUUGUGUUUUCCAUGGCCUCCAUGAGGUUCUUCCUCAGAGCUUCGAUUAUUCGGCCUGGUCUCUUCAGACUAAAAACAGGGCAGAUGGCUUAUCUACAAAAGAGAGUUUGAAACGAUCCAUGUGGGAUUCAUGAGAGAUGGAACAAAAUGUUGGUAGAGGACACGGACAUUGAAUUUGCUGUGGAGGAGCACGUUGCCAACAUGUGAGGAGAACUUUGGUGCAGAAAGUCCUGCUAUCUCACCUUAACUGAGGCCCGAUAACUAUGAUCCCCACAUUGAUCAUUUCCUGUUUUGAGCCCAAGCUGCGUAUUGCAGACAGCUUUCAGUAGUCGCUUUGGACAAAGUUAGAGAGGUGCUUAAGCUUGACCAGGAAAUGAUAGAUCUUGCUAAGCUACUGAUCGCAGAGCAGUCACUUAUCAUGUUUGGCAGGGGAUAGAAUUAUGCUACAGCUAUGUAAGGUUCUUUAAAAGUAAAUGAAGUGGCAUUGAUGCACAGUAAAGGAAUACUUGCCGGUGAAAUGAAACAUGGUCCUCUGGCUCAAGUGGUUGAGAGUCUUCCCAUUGUAGUGUUUGCUACUCAUGAUGCUUGCUUCAGGUUAGCUUUUGUCGUACAGGUUUGAUCAUGUCCAUGAAAUCUCUAUUUGUUCUAAAGCUGAAGGUGUCAGUGUUAACUGCAAUCAACGAUCAGUUAUUCAGCAACUCCAUGCCCACAAAGGAUGCCUAAUUGUGUCGUACUCAUGGUACCUUAAUAUUGUUUCAUGAUUGAAAUAACGAUGAUGACUUCAACUUAGUUUCAUCUGGGAUGCUAUGCAACUUAGAGCAUUAUGUUGUUCAUUCA
Eucalyptus grandis is the source of this 1348-nucleotide long non-coding RNA. RefSeq lists it as uncharacterized. NCBI's taxonomy places the organism in Eukaryota, Viridiplantae, Streptophyta, Magnoliopsida, Myrtales, Myrtaceae. The record is from RefSeq and is a predicted model, not a curated record. The transcript has 4 exons.